RNAcentral lists this microRNA precursor (166 nucleotides) under Punica granatum (pomegranate). RNAcentral's name for it is "mir-166 microRNA precursor family". It matches the Rfam family "mir-166 microRNA precursor family". From Rfam's summary of the family: This family represents the plant microRNA (miRNA) precursor mir-166. Animal miRNAs are transcribed as ~70nt precursors and subsequently processed by the Dicer enzyme to give a ~22nt product. In plants the precursor sequences may be longer, and the carpel factory (caf) enzyme appears to be involved in processing. Lineage: Eukaryota; Viridiplantae; Streptophyta; Magnoliopsida; Myrtales; Lythraceae. The record is from Rfam by way of RNAcentral.
UUUGAGGGGAAUGUUGUCUGGCUCGAGGCCGUUACUCGUUGAUCCGUGAUUGCACAUCGACUGUUGACCGCUUCGGCUUCCACGACUUAUAUCAAUCGAGACCCAUGUGCAAAUGUUUCACCGGUUUUGAGCUAGCGACGUCGGACCAGGCUUCAUUCCCCCCAAU